RNAcentral lists this long non-coding RNA (671 nucleotides) under Vigna radiata. RNAcentral's name for it is "long non-coding RNA (VRAD_LNC006171)". The record is from RNAcentral. Lineage: Eukaryota; Viridiplantae; Streptophyta; Magnoliopsida; Fabales; Fabaceae.
UGCACUACUCCAGCAAGAGGAAUCACCGUCACUUCAUUCUUCAACCGUAGCCCUCCAUCCAUUCACUCCAAGUAAUAUAAUGUGUUAAAGAGAGAGUCCUCCAUGUGGCGGCUACCAGCAGUCCUAGGAAUCUCACUUCUUUUUUUUUAUAUGCAGCAAUCCCCACACAUUCCCUAUACCCUACUGCCAGCAUGGCCUCCCUUAGCUGUUCCAAUUUUUUUUUUUUCAUUUUGGACAUCAGAAGCUGGACCUUGAUGCUGCCAAAACAUGAUGCUGUUACGUGGAGAGCUGGUGCUGGAUCAGCUGCUGCUUAAAGCCCAAAAUCAGCUGCUGCAGCGCAUGGGGUGUGAAGUCCAGCUGCACCUCCCUCGUGUGGAUCAGGCCAUGAUGGCACUUCUCUAAGCUUCACGUGCUGGACAACUUUCAAUCGUGGGCCAACUUCAAUUUGUUUUGGGCUUUGUGGCAGCAAUGCUUCGGGAGUUACUCCCUGUACCUCCUCAAUUUCAACCCCCACCCCCCAAUUUUUUUGGAUUAUUUUUUAAAUAUAAAAUUAAUCUUUAUGUUUUUUUUUUAUUUUUACCGUUUUACACCUAUUUACUAAAAUUAACCUACUCUUUUACAGUCUGCCUCAGUCAAAACACACAGACUCAAAUUCCUCUCCUUCGUAUUCC